Long non-coding RNA from Humulus lupulus (European hop), 605 nucleotides. RefSeq lists it as uncharacterized. The transcript has 2 exons. The record is from RefSeq and is a predicted model, not a curated record. NCBI's taxonomy places the organism in Eukaryota, Viridiplantae, Streptophyta, Magnoliopsida, Rosales, Cannabaceae.
CGAGCUUUCAACUGUUGACCCAUCAACUACUUUGCUUUAGUUCUUGCGGACUCGGACUCGUUUCAAGAGUGUUAAGCUCAGUUGUGGCGAAGGUGGUUGUGGUGCUUGUACUGUGCUGCUAUCCAAGUACGAUCUAGUAAAUGAUAGAGUUGAGGAUAUGACUGCGAGUUCAUGUCUUACUCUCUUAAACAGUAUAAGUGGGUGUUCAUUUACAACAUCUGAUGGGCUUGGAAAAUAGUGCGAUUUGUGGUGCUCGGAGCUGCGCAAAAUGACGGGGAUGGCUGGGUUUGUGACAAGGUUUUGCGCGCAGGGGAUGGGGGUUUCUGGUGGUGGUCGGAGGUGAGGGAGAAUAUUGGUUCGUGGUCAGAUCUGUUUUUUUUUUUUUUUUUCUGUCUUCAGAUCUGUGGUAACUGGUUACCUUCACGUUAUUUGUUUGUAUAUUUCAGGAGGUAACUGGUUACCGUCACAUUCUGAUGUGUGUGUAUAUUUCUGGGUUCUAUAUGAUAACUAGUUACCUAGGUUACCAAAUCAUACUUACUCUUUUUUUCCCUUCAAAUGUGAUGUUUCUUUUCAUUUAUAAUAUGAGUGACUCGUUAUCUCUCUUA